Molecule: ribosomal RNA, 655 nt
Filed under: Advenella sp.
Lineage: Bacteria; Pseudomonadati; Pseudomonadota; Betaproteobacteria; Burkholderiales; Alcaligenaceae
Description: bacterial SSU rRNA
Rfam family: Bacterial small subunit ribosomal RNA
Source: RNAcentral
GCAGUCGAACGGCAGCGGGAAAGUAGCUUGCUACUUUUGCCGGCGAGUGGCGAACGGGUGAGUAAUGUAUCGGAACGUGCCCAGUAGCGGGGGAUAACUACGCGAAAGCGUGGCUAAUACCGCAUACGCCCUACGGGGGAAAGGGGGGGAUCUUAGGACCUCUCACUAUUGGAGCGGCCGAUAUCGGAUUAGCUAGUUGGUGGGGUAAAGGCCUACCAAGGCGACGAUCCGUAGCUGGUUUGAGAGGACGACCAGCCACACUGGGACUGAGACACGGCCCAGACUCCUACGGGAGGCAGCAGUGGGGAAUUUUGGACAAUGGGGGAAACCCUGAUCCAGCCAUCCCGCGUGUGCGAUGAAGGCCUUCGGGUUGUAAAGCACUUUUGUCAGGGAAGAAAAGGUUUCGGAUAAUACCCGGAACUGAUGACGGUACCUGAAGAAUAAGCACCGGCUAACUACGUGCCAGCAGCCGCGGUAAUACGUAGGGUGCAAGCGUUAAUCGGAAUUACUGGGCGUAAAGCGUGCGCAGGCGGUUCGGAAAGAAAGAUGUGAAAUCCCAGGGCUCAACCUUGGAACUGCAUUUUUAACUACCGGACUAGAGUAUGUCAGAGGGGGGUGGAAUUCCACGUGUAGCAGUGAAAUGCGUAGAUAUGUG